CAGUAAGUUAAUACCUUGCUGUUUUGACGUUACCAACAGAAUAAGCACCGGCUAACUUCGUGCCAGCAGCCGCGGUAAUACGAAGGGUGCAAGCGUUAAUCGGAAUUACUGGGCGUAAAGCGCGCGUAGGUGGUUCAGCAAGUUGGAUGUGAAAUCCCCGGGCUCAACCUGGGAACUGCAUCCAAAACUACUGAGCUAGAGUACGGUAGAGGGUGGUGGAAUUUCCUGUGUAGCGGUGAAAUGCGUAGAUAUAGGAAGGAACACCAGUGGCGAAGGCGACCACCUGG
Molecule: ribosomal RNA, 287 nt
Filed under: Pseudomonas aeruginosa
Lineage: Bacteria; Pseudomonadati; Pseudomonadota; Gammaproteobacteria; Pseudomonadales; Pseudomonadaceae
Description: partial 16S ribosomal RNA
Rfam family: Bacterial small subunit ribosomal RNA
Source: RNAcentral